RNAcentral lists this ribosomal RNA (229 nucleotides) under uncultured bacterium. RNAcentral's name for it is "partial 16S ribosomal RNA". It matches the Rfam family "Bacterial small subunit ribosomal RNA", at positions 568 to 796 of the family's 1533-position model. The record is from RNAcentral.
UGCGUAGGUGGAUAAUUAAGUCAGAGGUGAAAUCCUGCAGCUCAACUGUAGAAUUGCCUUUGAAACUGGUUAUCUUGAGUUAUUAUGAAGUAGUUAGAAUAUGUAGUGUAGCGGUGAAAUGCAUAGAUAUUACAUAGAAUACCAAUUGCGAAGGCAGAUUACUAAUAAUCAACUGACACUGAUGGACGAAAGCGUGGGGAGCGAACAGGAUUAGAUACCCUGGUAGUCC